AGUGAACGCUGGCGGUAGGCCUAACACAUGCAAGUCGAACGGCAGCACAGGAGAGCUUGCUCUCUGGGUGGCGAGUGGCGGACGGGUGAGGAAUACAUCGGAAUCUACUCUGUCGUGAGGGAUAACGUAGGGAAACUUACGCUAAUACCGCAUACGACCUACGGGUGAAAGCAGGGGAUCUUCGGACCUUGCGCGAUUGAAUGAGCCGAUGGCGGAUUAGCUAGUUGGCGGGGUAAAGGCCCACCAAGGCGACGAUCCGUAGCUGGUCUGAGAGGAUGAUCAGCCACACUGGAACUGAGACACGGUCCAGACUCCUACGGGAGGCAGCAGUGGGGAAUAUUGGACAAUGGGCGCAAGCCUGAUCCAGCCAUACCGCGUGGGUGAAGAAGGCCUUCGGGUUGUAAAGCCCUUUUGUUGGGAAAGAAAUCCAGCUGGCUAAUACCCGGUUGGGAUGACGGUACCCAAAGAAUAAGCACCGGCUAACUUCGUGCCAGCCGCCGCGGUAA
Molecule: ribosomal RNA, 506 nt
Filed under: uncultured bacterium
Lineage: Bacteria
Description: partial 16S ribosomal RNA
Rfam family: Bacterial small subunit ribosomal RNA
Source: RNAcentral